AGAGUUUGAUCAUGGCUCAGAUUGAACGCUGGCGCAUGCUUUACACAUGCAAGUCGAACGGCAGCACGGGGGCAACCCUGGUGGCGAGUGGCGAACGGGUGAGUAAUAUAUCGGAACGUACCCAAGAGUGGGGGAUAACGUAGCGAAAGUUACGCUAAUACCGCAUACGAUCUAAGGAUGAAAGCAGGGGACCGCAAGGCCUUGUGCUCCUGGAGCGGCCGAUAUCUGAUUAGCUAGUUGGUGAGGUAAAGGCUCACCAAGGCCACGAUCAGUAGCUGGUCUGAGAGGACGACCAGCCACACUGGAACUGAGACACGGUCCAGACUCCUACGGGAGGCAGCAGUGGGGAAUUUUGGACAAUGGGCGCAAGCCUGAUCCAGCAAUGCCGCGUGAGUGAAGAAGGCCUUCGGGUUGUAAAGCUCUUUUGUCAGGGAAGAAACGGUAGGGGCUAAUAUCCCCUGCUAAUGACGGUACCUGAAGAAUAAGCACCGGCUAACUACGUGCCAGCAGCCGCGGUAAUACGUAGGGUGCAAGCGUUAAUCGGAAUUACUGGGCGUAAAGCGUGCGCAGGCGGUUUUGUAAGUCUGUCGUGAAAGCCCCGGGCUCAACCUGGGAAUUGCGAUGGAGACUGCAAGGCUUGAAUCUGGCAGAGGGGGGUAGAAUUCCACGUAGCAGUGAAAUGCGUAGAGAUGUGGAGGAACACCGAUGGCGAAGGCAGCCCCCUGGGUCAAGAUUGACGCUCAUGCACGAAAGCGUGGGGAGCAAACAGGAUUAGAUACCCUAGUAGUCC
Molecule: ribosomal RNA, 790 nt
Filed under: uncultured bacterium
Lineage: Bacteria
Description: bacterial SSU rRNA
Rfam family: Bacterial small subunit ribosomal RNA
Source: RNAcentral